UGGGUGUCAUUUAUAUCAGUGGGUUUCAAAUAUAAAAUGUGAAAAUAUCUACAAAAAAUAAACGCACAGUAUUAGAGGUGAUGGUUUUCAGUUGUUUAAUUCGUACCUGCACAGGACAUCGAAACAGCAGGUUAAAAGGAAACCUUGACAUUAUCAAUUAUUUGGCUAGCUGGGGAAUUAGGUUUUCAGUGAUGGUAGAGAAAAGCAACCAAUUAAAAUUUUCCAUUUUCACUGUUUGUACCUAUUGUUUAAUGUUGCUGCAUGUAAUUGAACCAAAUUGACUUGGCCUGAACAGAUUUACUAGUGAGGAAGAGAACAUAGAGAACAUAGAGUUGAUGGAAUUAUGGGGGUUAGGGUUGAAAAGUCUCUUUUGUGUACAGUAGAAUUGUGGAAGGAACAGAUGGAAAGGCAAAGGAAGUAGUUGAUCAGAUUAGAAGGUCCAGGAGGAGUUGAAGUUUGAGCAGGGAAGAAGGGGUAAGAGACAAGAUAUAAGUCAGAGCAGAGCUAUGCAGCAGUCUGGAUGUCAGGAAGAGAAAUUAUUGUUGUCAUAUAUAUACUUUUCCUCCAGCAGAACCAGAGCUACGACUGAAAAAAAUGACGUGAAAUGUUCAAAUCAGAAAAGAUCUCCUGCUUGGUGCCAUGACUGAGAUGAGAGCAGAAGAAACAGAAAUGGGGCCUAUUCCAGGUUGAGACUGGUGUCUCUGGAACAGAAAACAAAGAGGAUAAAAGACGAACUGGACCAGAAUGAGUGAUAAACUGUCUCCUCCAUGUUAAACAUAUAAUUUAUUUCAGCUAAUAAACCUUAGGAUUAAUUGUAAUGAGCACAAAACUCACUGUUGUAUGUGGGAUGCCAGUGCUUGUAGCAGGUCUGUCUAUCUGCGUAGUUUACAUCACUGAUGUCUUUCCUUCCUUUCCUAAGAGGAUCUGUGGGAGUCCAGGCUGUGAGGACUGCACCUGCAGACUGCAAAUCUGCCUUUUGACCCUGAGAGGAGCAUGCAGAGGCAUCAUGGGAGAAGUACUUUUUAUGAAAACUACUGCCCUGCAGAGGGACAAGUGUCACUUUGGUCUUUACCAGUGAAUGCCAGGAACAGUAGAGACAUUGUCCUCGCUGAUGAUGUUUCCUCUGCCCAAACCUUGUCACCUCACAAAAAGGCAGCUGCUACUCGUGGACUUGACCAGGCCUCUUUGGCCAUAGGCAGUGCAAGGGCCUCACUUACCAUUAGGCGGAAGUAAGGAGGACUAGUGUGAAAGAUAUUUGGCACCACAGACGCACGGGGCUUUAUAGACGGAGAGUUGGCUUUUACACUCUGCCGAAAGUUUGCUGCUUAUGUUCAACCAGACGGGCCAUUAAAACAGUGCCAGCGGCCUUUAGCACUUCAUGAAAAGGAAACAAAGCAGCAAAAUGGGUAUGGGUUUUACAGUAAGGAACAGCCAUCCCUUCCAUCAAAAAAGAGUGCUAUAUUUUCUCCCCUAUGUUGAAACAGCUUCCCCCCUUCACACCUUUUAGGAGGCAAUCUGUGAUUAGGAGAUGGGAAGUCUGGCGUCACCAGCUUGGCUGGCAAGACUCAGUGGGAAAUCAUGGGGCAGUGUCUGCUACUCCGUGUGUGCAUGAGGUUGCUACUUAACUGGAUCUGGAAGUAAAUCAAUCCAUUAACGUAUACUAACCAUGGCACUAAUUAGUUGCAUAUGUAUAAUCAGCAUGCUCACAGGCAUCUCGUUGGGGAAUAGUGGGCUGACAGACACAAAUUUGUUAGUCUGCGUCUGCUGCCAGAUUUGGAAAAUUUGAAGUUUUUGAAACUGAAAUAAGGCAACAAUAACAACAAAAAAAAUUCAAGUUGACAGUGUCCCUUGCAAACAGAUGGCUGAACACACCUUCUCUGAAGAAGGCCACUCUUCAUGGGAGGACAAUAAAAGUUCACAGUUAAGACA
This 1929-nucleotide long non-coding RNA is filed under the name Anser brachyrhynchus (Pink-footed goose). Its description in RNAcentral is "lncRNA (ENSABRG00000006573.1)". The record is from RNAcentral. Lineage: Eukaryota; Metazoa; Chordata; Aves; Anseriformes; Anatidae.